This 492-nucleotide ribosomal RNA is filed under the name uncultured bacterium. RNAcentral describes it as "partial 16S ribosomal RNA". It matches the Rfam family "Bacterial small subunit ribosomal RNA", at positions 29 to 507 of the family's 1533-position model. The record is from RNAcentral.
AGUGAACGCUGGCGGUAGGCCUAACACAUGCAAGUCGAGCGGCAGCACAGUAAGAGCUUGCUCUUACUGUUGGCGAGUGGCGGAUGGGUGAGGAAUACAUCGCAAUCUACUUUGUCGUGGGUGAUAACGUAGGGAAACUUAUGCUAAUACCGCAUACUUCCUACGGGUGAAAGCAGGGGAGCUUGGCAGCUUGCGCGAUUGAAUGAGCCGAUGUCGGAUUAGCUAGUUGGCGUGGUAAAGGCCCACCAAGGCAACGAUACGUAGCUGGUCUGAGAGGAUGAUCAGCCACACUGGAACUGAGACACGGUCCAGACUCCUACGGGAGGCAGCAGUGGGGAAUCUUGCACAAUGGGCGAAAGCCUGACGCAGCCAUGCCGCGUGAGUGAUGAAGGUCUUCGGAUUGUAAAGCCCUUUUGUUAGGAAAGAACAGCUGCGGGUUAAUCUCCCGCUGUCCUGACGGUACCCAAAGAAUAAGCCCCGGCUAACUUCGUG